This is a long non-coding RNA of Metopolophium dirhodum (rose-grain aphid), 1332 nucleotides long. RefSeq lists it as uncharacterized. NCBI's taxonomy places the organism in Eukaryota, Metazoa, Arthropoda, Insecta, Hemiptera, Aphididae. The transcript is spliced from 4 exons. The record is from RefSeq and is a predicted model, not a curated record.
AUUUAAUACAGUUCCUCGUGAGAUUUUACACUGGUUAAAAAAAACCGUGAAAAGGUGCUAGUGGAGGGAAGCAGUAACCGCUAACAUACAUAGGCGACCACCACAGUGGAUCUAUGAUAUAGACGGAGCGACUGGCGUCCGGUUAACACAACAGGUGUUCGGUCGGAUACUAAAGUGAAAAGGUUUUAGAAACUUUCAGCUGGCGUCAAGACGACCAUAUUACAUUAAUAAUUACGGACGAUUCUCGACGGUCAUAUUAUGUAUGCAUAGUCAGCGGCUGCACAGCGACUCUUCGACUUUCGAAUCGUCCAGUACCAGAGCAGCUGAUCGAUUGUAAUAUAUUUGUGUCGGCUGGGAACCGAACAAUUCCACGUAGACCCGUCGGUGAUUAUACCCACCGAGGUCCGAGGCUCUCGUCGUGUGGUAUCCGAAAACGGUGGUCAUGUAUUACAAAUGAAAGCUUUCAAGCGGGUGUCUUCAACAGUCAUCUUCCGUCUGACCAGAUGAUCUCUUUAUAUUAUAAACGCGAAGUUUAGUUGUCACUGCCGCCGAAUUCCCAACUUAGUACUUUUGGAUUUGCAUCUUCCAUGUUGUGACGAGACGUAUAUUAGCCAUUUGGCCAUAUAGGAUAACGUUCGAAUCUGGAAGUUCCCGAAAGCCCCAGCCCGUCGCACCUAACCAUCAAUUCUACGACUUAACGUGAUGGUACUAUAAUGGUAGCCUGCCACCUGCGAUUACAGCGUUUACUGUAGGAUAUUACACACUUAAGACGUCCCUAACGAAUGGAAUCUACAAAUCAACCAUGUUCGAGAAUAUUAGAUGUCUAUAUUUCCAUAAAUAUAAAAUAUUAUAUUAAACGCGUUUGCGCCGAUCCGCGAUCAACUGCAGUAGGUGCCUAACAAUAAUCGACGUCGGGCCAAUCAACAGCGAAGGCAGCCAAUGGUGUCUGAUGGAAUAAAAUAUCAUCCAGGGAAAAAAACAAUCUCCCCUCUGGCCGCUGUACCUACACUUUUAUACGUACCUUCCAUAUAUAUAAUAAUUAUAUACACCGACGUAACGAGCGCGAUCAAAGAUGAAGACGAAGAAAUAUUGUUUUUUUUUAACUGCGAAUGCUGAUUAUUUGAAAUUUAUUUAUAAUCUCCGGAUAAUGGCGUCCAUGCCACUUUUUAAUAGACUGCAGCAGGCGAAGAUUAAUGUGUGUGCAAAUAUAGGCAAAAUAACCAAUAAAUGAAAAUAAAAAAAGGAAAUGAGAGUAAGGUAAAACGAUAACAUUGUUUAUAACUUAUAAGUGUUAUUAGUGCACAGUGUUAUAGUCUUGAUUGUCAUUGGACC